This 1282-nucleotide ribosomal RNA is filed under the name Chryseobacterium indologenes. Its description in RNAcentral is "bacterial SSU rRNA". It matches the Rfam family "Bacterial small subunit ribosomal RNA", at positions 54 to 1346 of the family's 1533-position model. Lineage: Bacteria; Pseudomonadati; Bacteroidota; Flavobacteriia; Flavobacteriales; Weeksellaceae. The record is from RNAcentral.
CAUGCAAGCCGAGCGGUAGAGAUCUUUCGGGAUCUUGAGAGCGGCGUACGGGUGCGGAACACGUGUGCAACCUGCCUUUAUCUGGGGGAUAGCCUUUCGAAAGGAAGAUUAAUACCCCAUAAUAUGUUGGAUGGCAUCAUUCGACAUUGAAAACUCCGGUGGAUAGAGAUGGGCACGCGCAAGAUUAGAUAGUUGGUGAGGUAACGGCUCACCAAGUCUGCGAUCUUUAGGGGGCCUGAGAGGGUGAUCCCCCACACUGGUACUGAGACACGGACCAGACUCCUACGGGAGGCAGCAGUGAGGAAUAUUGGACAAUGGGUGAGAGCCUGAUCCAGCCAUCCCGCGUGAAGGACGACGGCCCUAUGGGUUGUAAACUUCUUUUGUAUAGGGAUAAACCUACUCUCGUGAGAGUAGCUGAAGGUACUAUACGAAUAAGCACCGGCUAACUCCGUGCCAGCAGCCGCGGUAAUACGGAGGGUGCAAGCGUUAUCCGGAUUUAUUGGGUUUAAAGGGUCCGUAGGCGGAUCUGUAAGUCAGUGGUGAAAUCUCACAGCUUAACUGUGAAACUGCCAUUGAUACUGCAGGUCUUGAGUGUUGUUGAAGUAGCUGGAAUAAGUAGUGUAGCGGUGAAAUGCAUAGAUAUUACUUAGAACACCAAUUGCGAAGGCAGGUUACUAAGCAACAACUGACGCUGAUGGACGAAAGCGUGGGGAGCGAACAGGAUUAGAUACCCUGGUAGUCCACGCCGUAAACGAUGCUAACUCGUUUUUGGGCUUUCGGGUUCAGAGACUAAGCGAAAGUGAUAAGUUAGCCACCUGGGGAGUACGAACGCAAGUUUGAAACUCAAAGGAAUUGACGGGGGCCCGCACAAGCGGUGGAUUAUGUGGUUUAAUUCGAUGAUACGCGAGGAACCUUACCAAGGCUUAAAUGGGAAAUGACAGGUUUAGAAAUAGACUUUUCUUCGGACAUUUUUCAAGGUGCUGCAUGGUUGUCGUCAGCUCGUGCCGUGAGGUGUUAGGUUAAGUCCUGCAACGAGCGCAACCCCUGUCACUAGUUGCCAUCAUUAAGUUGGGGACUCUAGUGAGACUGCCUACGCAAGUAGAGAGGAAGGUGGGGAUGACGUCAAAUCAUCACGGCCCUUACGCCUUGGGCCACACACGUAAUACAAUGGCCGGUACAGAGGGCAGCUACACAGCGAUGUGAUGCAAAUCUCGAAAGCCGGUCUCAGUUCGGAUUGGAGUCUGCAACUCGACUCUAUGAAGCUGGAAUCGCUAGUAUCGCG